GGUAAAAUGGCUGAGGUUUAGGCGGUAAAUUGUAAAUUUAUUAACAAGAUUAAUCUUUUUUAUCA
This 65-nucleotide transfer RNA is filed under the name Euwallacea similis. Its description in RNAcentral is "tRNA-Tyr". It matches the Rfam family "tRNA". Rfam says of the family: Transfer RNA (tRNA) molecules are approximately 80 nucleotides in length. Their secondary structure includes four short double-helical elements and three loops (D, anti-codon, and T loops). Lineage: Eukaryota; Metazoa; Arthropoda; Insecta; Coleoptera; Curculionidae. The record is from RNAcentral.